This 229-nucleotide unclassified non-coding RNA is filed under the name Filobasidium oeirense. Its description in RNAcentral is "partial internal transcribed spacer region". The stretch from base 1 to 46 matches the Rfam family "Eukaryotic small subunit ribosomal RNA", at positions 1786 to 1831 of the family's 1831-position model. The record is from RNAcentral. Lineage: Eukaryota; Fungi; Basidiomycota; Tremellomycetes; Filobasidiales; Filobasidiaceae.
AAGUCGUAACAAGGUUUCCGUAGGUGAACCUGCGGAAGGAUCAUUAAUGAAUAUAAAUCGUACUGUUCACGCAGUAUGUGGGGUGGUGACUUCGGUCCCGCUCAUUCAUAUCCAUAACACCUGUGCACUGUUGGAUGCUUGCAUCCACUUUUAAACUAAACAUUAUUGUAACAAAUGUAGUCUUAUUAUAACAUAAUAAAACUUUCAACAACGGAUCUCUUGGCUCUCG